Molecule: transfer RNA, 76 nt
Filed under: Cordylochernes scorpioides
Lineage: Eukaryota; Metazoa; Arthropoda; Arachnida; Pseudoscorpiones; Chernetidae
Description: tRNA-Thr
Source: RNAcentral
UGUCCAGGGAUGGGAAUCGAACCCACAGUGUUCCGCUUACUGGGCAGAUGCCAUGUCCACUAGGCUACCCCUGGAC